RNAcentral lists this ribosomal RNA (487 nucleotides) under uncultured bacterium. Its description in RNAcentral is "bacterial SSU rRNA". It matches the Rfam family "Bacterial small subunit ribosomal RNA", at positions 501 to 989 of the family's 1533-position model. The record is from RNAcentral.
CUACGUGCCAGCAGCCGCGGUAAUACGGAGGGUGCGAGCGUUAAUCGGAAUAACUGGGCGUAAAGGGCACGCAGGCGGUUAUUUAAGUGAGGUGUGAAAGCCCCGGGCUUAACCUGGGAAUUGCAUUUCAGACUGGGUAACUAGAGUACUUUAGGGAGGGGUAGAAUUCCACGUGUAGCGGUGAAAUGCGUAGAGAUGUGGAGGAAUACCGAAGGCGAAGGCAGCCCCUUGGGAAUGUACUGACGCUCAUGUGCGAAAGCGUGGGGAGCAAACAGGAUUAGAUACCCUGGUAGUCCACGCUGUAAACGCUGUCGAUUUGGGGAUUGGGCUUAAAGCUUGGUGCCCGUAGCUAACGUGAUAAAUCGACCGCCUGGGGAGUACGGCCGCAAGGUUAAAACUCAAAUGAAUUGACGGGGGCCCGCACAAGCGGUGGAGCAUGUGGUUUAAUUCGAUGCAACGCGAAGAACCUUACCUACUCUUGACAUCC